AAUAUUUUUUGUAACGUUUUUGACAAUAUGGGUUCCAUGCAAUUCAAGCAAUGUUCCAGACAUUAUGCAUAUCCAAUUGCUUAAUUUUUUAAGGAUAGUAUUUAGAUUAUCUAUAAGGUGCGCAUACCGUGCUCUCAUCGUUCGUCUAUCCUUGCCCUUUCUAUAUCUCCAGGUCAAUUGCCUCUCCUUGCAAAGACACAGUCAUGGCGGAUGCAAAUAUGAAUAAUCACCAUGGAAAGGAAUGCGAUUGUUGUUGCAAAAAUGCUUAUGGAGUAGCAGAAUCUAUGGAAGAAAUGGAUUUUAAUCGAAGUUUAUGGGGAGCAUGCGUGAUUGGUGAUUUAGAGCGAAUAGAGAGGUUGAUUUCCAAGGGAGUUGAUGUCAAUGCUGAGGAUUCAUAUGGAUAUUCGCCCCUGCACUAUGCUGCCCGGAAUGGCCAUAGCCAAGCUUGCUCGGUUCUAUUGAAGAAUGGAGCAUUUGUGAAUAAGAAAUUAAGAUCAGGUCAGGCAACUAGUCUGCACCGUGCAGCAUAUGCAGGUCAUGAAGAAGUUGUAAAAGUUCUCCUUGCUGCUGCUGCAGAUCCAUGUGCUCAAGAUUCUUAUGGUUGUACUCCGUUGCAUAAAGCAGUGAAACAAGGACAUGAGCGCAUUGCCAGUAUGCUAACAAAUGUCAACAAGAAGGUUUCUGAGAUACGAGACAAUAAGGGCCUCUUGCCGAGUGACUAUUAGAAGAUCCUAUACACCUAGAUAGGAAAGUGAAAUGAUAAGUUGUAUGAGCAAUGGGGAUACUUUCCUGAUGCAGCAUUGUAGGACAACUUUGAUAUUCUUAGAAGAGGUGGCAGAAAUGAAACCUACCCUUGACAGAAAUAAAUCCUCUGUUUUUACAAAACUGCCCAUUUAAGAAGAACGGUUGUUUCAAAACUGCCAUUUGAUAGUUAUGAAACUGCCCCUCUACUGUUCACAAAAUCUUGUAGUUUGUGGAGGCCAUAACUUUUGCAUACAUACAUUUUUGAGAGAACCGCAUAUGUUUUUAAAAAUGGACUUCUGAUUAAGCAUAACCCAUGUUUAGCCCUUUUGAAGUUGAUAGUGUUUUUUUCAACUUGUCUUUCUUUUAUUGAUCUAGACAUGUCUUGGAGUAUAUGGAGCA
Cryptomeria japonica (Japanese cedar) is the source of this 1143-nucleotide RNA transcript. RefSeq lists it as uncharacterized. NCBI's taxonomy places the organism in Eukaryota, Viridiplantae, Streptophyta, Pinopsida, Cupressales, Cupressaceae. The transcript has 5 exons. The record is from RefSeq and is a predicted model, not a curated record.